CAGUCGCCGCGGUAAUACAGAGGGUGCGAGCGUUAAUCGGAAUUACUGGGCGUAAAGCGCGCGUAGGUGGUUUGUUAAGUUGGAUGUGAAAUCCCCGGGCUCAACCUGGGAACUGCAUUCAAAACUGACUGACUAGAGUAUGGUAGAGGGUGGUGGAAUUUCCUGUGUAGCGGUGAAAUGCGUAGAUAUAGGAAGGAACACCAGUGGCGAAGGCGACCACCUGGACUAAUACUGACACUGAGGUGCGAAAGCGUGGGGAGCAAACAGGAUUAGAUACCCGCGUAGUCCCUGUCUCUUAUAC
RNAcentral lists this ribosomal RNA (301 nucleotides) under uncultured bacterium. RNAcentral's name for it is "partial 16S ribosomal RNA". It matches the Rfam family "Bacterial small subunit ribosomal RNA", at positions 509 to 807 of the family's 1533-position model. The record is from RNAcentral.